Acanthosepion pharaonis is the source of this 108-nucleotide non-coding RNA. Lineage: Eukaryota; Metazoa; Mollusca; Cephalopoda; Sepiida; Sepiidae. The record is from the annotation of a GenBank genome assembly.
GUCAUAUCAUAUUGAAACACUGGUUCUCAUUCGAUCACCAAAGUUAAGCAAUGUCAAACCUGGUCAGUACCUAGAUGGGUGACCAUUUGGGAAUACCAGACACUGUAA